Molecule: ribosomal RNA, 214 nt
Filed under: uncultured bacterium
Lineage: Bacteria
Description: partial 16S ribosomal RNA
Rfam family: Bacterial small subunit ribosomal RNA
Source: RNAcentral
UACGAAGGGGCUAGCGUUGUUCGGAAUUACUGGGCGUAAAGCGCACGUAGGCGGAUUGUUAAGUUAGGGGUGAAAUCCCGGGGCUCAACCCCGGAACUGCCUUUAAUACUGGCAAUCUCGAGUCCGAGAGAGGUGAGUGGAAUUCCGAGUGUAGAGGUGAAAUUCGUAGAUAUUCGGAGGAACACCAGUGGCGAAGGCGGCUCACUGGCUCGGU